GGAGUGGACUCCUACGGGAGGCAGCAGUGGGGAAUUUUGGACAAUGGGCGCAAGCCUGAUCCAGCCAUGCCGCGUGUCUGAAGAAGGCCUUCGGGUUGUAAAGGACUUUUGUCAGGGAAGAAAAGGGCGGGGUUAAUACCCCUGUCUGAUGACGGUACCUGAAGAAUAAGCACCGGCUAACUACGUGCCAGCAGCCGCGGUAAUACGUAGGGUGCGAGCGUUCAUCGGAAUUACUGGGCGUAAAGCGGGCUCAGACGGUUACUUAAGCAGGAUGUGAAAUCCCCGGGCUCAACCUGGGAAGUGCGUUCUGAACUGGUUGACUAGAGUGUGUCAGAGGGAAGUAGAAUUCCACGUGUAGCAGUGAAAUGCGUAGAGAUGUGGAGGAAUACCGAUGGCGAAGGCAGCCUCCUGGGAUAACACUGACGUUCAUGCUCGAAAGCGUGGGUAGCAAACAGGAUUAGAAACCCGGGUAGUCCU
RNAcentral lists this ribosomal RNA (477 nucleotides) under uncultured bacterium. Its description in RNAcentral is "bacterial SSU rRNA". It matches the Rfam family "Bacterial small subunit ribosomal RNA", at positions 328 to 797 of the family's 1533-position model. The record is from RNAcentral.